RNAcentral lists this ribosomal RNA (318 nucleotides) under uncultured eukaryote. Its description in RNAcentral is "partial 18S ribosomal RNA". It matches the Rfam family "Eukaryotic small subunit ribosomal RNA", at positions 1470 to 1796 of the family's 1831-position model. The record is from RNAcentral.
CCCUUAGAUGUCCUGGGCCGCACGCGUGCUGCACUGACGCAUACAGCGAGCACUUUCCAGUUCCGAGAGGCUACUGGUAAUCAUCAAUAUGCGUCGUGAUGGGGAUAGAUCUUUGGAAUUCUGGAUCUUGAACGAGGAAUGCCUAGUAAUCGCAGGUCAUUAGCCUGCGAUGAUUAAGUCCCUGCCCUUUGUACACACCGCCCGUCGCUACUACCGAUUUCGAGUGGUCAGGUGAAUCUUUCGGACUGUGGGCGCCCUUGAGGUGUUCGCGGAAAGUCAGGUAAAUCUUAUCACUUAGAGGAAGUAAAAGUCGUAACA